This 199-nucleotide long non-coding RNA is filed under the name Physcomitrium patens. Its description in RNAcentral is "long non-coding RNA (PPAT_LNC002028)". The record is from RNAcentral. Lineage: Eukaryota; Viridiplantae; Streptophyta; Bryopsida; Funariales; Funariaceae.
AUCGAGAUUUUUAAUGAAGUGGGUUUUAUUACUCUUGACUGUUUUGUGAAAUCAAGUUACGUCUGUGAUAAAGAGUUAAAAUGGUGUCUAUAGGAUUGAGUAUGCAGAGUGAAUGAAAUGUAUUGGGUUAAUCUAACGAGACAGUUAGUGGAUACAAGAUUGUGAGUAUAAAGCGGUAUCAAAGAGUAGCAGUUUGGAU